RNAcentral lists this ribosomal RNA (235 nucleotides) under uncultured bacterium. RNAcentral describes it as "partial 16S ribosomal RNA". It matches the Rfam family "Bacterial small subunit ribosomal RNA", at positions 1264 to 1500 of the family's 1533-position model. The record is from RNAcentral.
AGAGCAAAUCUCAAAAAAACAUCUCAGUUCAGACUGCAGGCUGCAACUCGCCUGCACGAAGUCGGAAUUGCUAGUAAUCGCGGAUCAGCAUGCCGCGGUGAAUACGUUCCCGGGCCUUGUACACACCGCCCGUCACACCAUGGGGGCCGGUAAUACCCGAAGUCAGUAGUCCAACCUCGUGAGGACGCUGCCGAAGGUAGGAUUGGCGACUGGGGUGAAGUCGUAACAAGGUAGC